GGUCAGUGGCCGCUUCCCCAAACCCUCAGGGCUGCCUGACCUCAAGACCCUGGGGCCUCCAGUGGACAGAAGAGGCCCAAGCAAGUCUGUGGCGUACGCACGGCAGCUGUUCUUCCUCAGUUGCCCCCAUAGCACGGCCACCGAGACGCUG
Sorex fumeus (smoky shrew) is the source of this 151-nucleotide small nucleolar RNA. RefSeq annotates it as small nucleolar RNA SNORA84. NCBI's taxonomy places the organism in Eukaryota, Metazoa, Chordata, Mammalia, Eulipotyphla, Soricidae. The transcript has a single exon. The record is from RefSeq and is a predicted model, not a curated record.